GGUCCCAUAGCUCAGUUGGUUAGAGCGUCGUACUAAUAUCUCAUCCGAAAUAUUAAGUAAAUGCGAAGGCCGAGAGUUCAAGCCUCUCUGGGACCA
RNAcentral lists this transfer RNA (96 nucleotides) under Hypoxylon sp. CI-4A. It matches the Rfam family "tRNA". Rfam says of the family: Transfer RNA (tRNA) molecules are approximately 80 nucleotides in length. Their secondary structure includes four short double-helical elements and three loops (D, anti-codon, and T loops). The record is from Rfam by way of RNAcentral. Lineage: Eukaryota; Fungi; Ascomycota; Sordariomycetes; Xylariales; Hypoxylaceae.